This 194-nucleotide ribosomal RNA is filed under the name uncultured bacterium. RNAcentral describes it as "partial 16S ribosomal RNA". It matches the Rfam family "Bacterial small subunit ribosomal RNA", at positions 338 to 523 of the family's 1533-position model. The record is from RNAcentral.
CCUACGGGAGGCAGCAGUAGGGAAUCUUCGGCAAUGGGGGCAACCCUGACCGAGCAACGCCGCGUGAGUGAAGAAGGUUUUCGGAUCGUAAAGCUCUGUUGUAAGAGAAGAACGAGUGUGAGAGUGGAAAGUUCACACUGUGACGGUAACUUACCAGAAAGGGACGGCUAACUACGUGCCAGCAGCCGCGGUGG